Molecule: regulatory RNA element, 58 nt
Organism: Saccharomonospora marina
Lineage: Bacteria; Bacillati; Actinomycetota; Actinomycetes; Pseudonocardiales; Pseudonocardiaceae
Rfam family: Actino-pnp RNA
Source: Rfam
GCCGGUCCUCGGUAGUGGCUCCCGGGACAGUCCCCGAGAGCUUCGAUCGAUGACCGGC